Molecule: small nuclear RNA, 56 nt
Filed under: Schizosaccharomyces octosporus
Lineage: Eukaryota; Fungi; Ascomycota; Schizosaccharomycetes; Schizosaccharomycetales; Schizosaccharomycetaceae
Source: RNAcentral
UUGUAAGUACACCCCAGACGACCAAGGUUCGAGUCAUACUAACUCGUUGUUUAGAG